Long non-coding RNA from Ipomoea nil (Japanese morning glory), 327 nucleotides. RefSeq lists it as uncharacterized. The record is from RefSeq and is a predicted model, not a curated record. The transcript has 3 exons. NCBI's taxonomy places the organism in Eukaryota, Viridiplantae, Streptophyta, Magnoliopsida, Solanales, Convolvulaceae.
AAUGAAGCAGUACAAUGAUAAGGAACCAGGAGGGGUUCAUAGCAAUGGUCCUGUUCUUGAUGAAGUUCUACUGUCUGACCCAGAGUUAUCUGAUGCAAUUGAGAAUGAAAAGGUGGUGAACAAAACAAUUCAAAUUUAUAAUAUUGACCGUGCUACUUGUGGCCGCAUAGCUGGUGUUAUUGCAAAGAAAUACGGUGACACUGGUUUUGCUGGGUAGCUUAACAUAACAUUCAUAGGGAGUGCUGGGCAGUCAUUUGGUUGUUUUUUGACACCUGGAAAGAACAUCCGUCUUGUAGGAGAAGCUAAUGACUAUGUGGGGAAGGUUAG